RNAcentral lists this long non-coding RNA (1090 nucleotides) under Apteryx rowi (Okarito brown kiwi). RNAcentral describes it as "lncRNA (ENSARWG00000012414.1)". Lineage: Eukaryota; Metazoa; Chordata; Aves; Apterygiformes; Apterygidae. The record is from RNAcentral.
CGCGCGUGCCCCGCCCCCACCGCGCCUUCGCCCGCUCCCAUUGGCUCCUCCUCGGGAGGGGGGCGUGGCCCGAGGCAAGCCUCCCGCUGUGAUUGGCUGGAGGGGCGGGGACCGCGCUCUGGGCCACGCCCUCAAGUGUUCUCUCAGCAGAUGGCGUAUAAAAGAGGUAUCCUUCCGCAAAGCUCUGGGGAGAAAAGUCCUCUAGCUCGUCCCCUUCCACGAAGACCUCAAAGACGGGGCCAAAUGGAAAAUGAUUGAACUUCUUCCCUUGGAGAGACGUUAUUCUGUUGUCUACAGGAUCUGACAGGAAGUUCCUGCAGCUCAGGCUCAUGGGCUUAUGUAGCCAGGUAUGAGCCCAGCAAGGGGAAGAACAGACAUUCCUAAAGCCACUGGGACCGCACUGAAUUCCAAAGUGGAGCCCACAGUGCAGAUGGCAAUUGAUUCUGGAGCUGGCAAUUAUGAUACKCUUUGCUGUAUUUAUCCGUACAAAACACGGUCUGAAUGCAGUGCUGGGAUGGACGAGGAUUGGGAUGUGGACUGCUUUUCCUCCGGGCCUGCUGAGCCAAAGCACGGAGAGGAGCGCAAGGGGAGGAGCAGCAGUGGCACGAAUGCCUCCGAUGAGGCCCAUGAAACGCUAUCUCUCGCAGGCAGCUGCUGAGAGCCUCACGAYGUGUGCCAGGCACAGCGUUCCUGCCAGCCCGCAGCUCCUCACCUCGCGCARCGGUCAGGAGUCCCACACCAGCACUACAGGUUCUCCACACAGACCCUUCCUGCAAAGUGUUGCCUCGGUGGCAAACCGAUUCCCCUUGCUCAUCAGCAGCCCUUCUUCACUGGGCCAAGCGGCUCUACUGAAAGCAGUGCAAAGCAGAACAGASCAGCUUACUAAGCCAUCUACCUGCAAUAAAUUCCCUUCCUAAAAUAGCUGCAGAGCCUUGAAGUCUUUUUAUAGCAGCUACACUGGCCUUUGCUGUUCUGAAAGACUGUAAAGAAAAUCUUGUAGUGCUAACUUGUAGGUAAACUGAUGCAAUUCUGACCGAGUUUGAAGAGAGCCUGAAGCAAUAGCUCUGGAAAGAGUGAGUUACCUGCUUAA